Long non-coding RNA from Drosophila pseudoobscura, 765 nucleotides. RefSeq lists it as uncharacterized. The transcript is spliced from 3 exons. The record is from RefSeq and is a predicted model, not a curated record. NCBI's taxonomy places the organism in Eukaryota, Metazoa, Arthropoda, Insecta, Diptera, Drosophilidae.
GAAACGGACUUAGAAAUGAUAAAAAUCCGGGAGCGAUGAGUGAAGUCUCGCAAAAUGCUCGCAGACGGACUUAGAAAAGAGCAUUUACCGGACAAAAACCGAGUGACGACAAAGUCUCGCAAAACUAUCACAAACGGACUUAAAAACGGGUGAAAAAUGGACAGAAAAGUGAAACAUAACGGAAAAAAUAGCUAGGUACGGGUGAAGUCUCACAAAAUGCUCGCAGACGGACUCAGAAAAGAGCAUUUACCGGACGAAAACCGUGCGACGACCAAAGUCUCGCAAAACUAUCACAAACGGACUUAAAAACGGGCACAAUACGCAAGAAACGCCGGAUCACGUAAUAGAACAUGAACGAACAUGUCAAACUGCGGCCCGGCACAACGCCGCCGUUUUUUCGUUUUGUGUUAUUUUGUGAUUAAAAACCGCAGCAGAAGGACGUAAACGGGAAGUUAAAUCAUAAAAAUAGUGAAAAAAAGGAAAAAUCGCCAUCUUCUUGUGCAUCAGGCGACCUGCGUCAACGAAUAUGUACAUAUAACAAUUUUCGCUGGAACUGACUUUGCGCACCAUUUUUUGUGUUACUUGCUGGUUACUCUAGCCAUCCGUACGGGAUUUAAGGAAAGAUUUUCAUUAGAAGACGCCGAUUUCGACCGAGUAACGCAAAAAUUUUUCCAAUAUGCCCAGGACAGAGUGUCGAAGGAAAAAAAACAAAUUAAAUUUAAUUCACUAAUAUAAUUUUUUAAUCUAUUUAUGUAAAACCAAAAU